UACGAAGGGUGCAAGCGUUACUCGGAAUUACUGGGCGUAAAGCGUGCGUAGGUGGUUUGUUAAGUCUGUUGUGAAAGCCCCGGGCUCAACCUGGGAAUGGCAAUGGAUACUGGCAAGCUAGAGUGCGGUAGAGGGUAGUGGAAUUCCCGGUGUAGGGGUGAAAUGCGUAGAGAUCGGGAGGAACACCAGUGGCGAAGGCGGCUACCUGGACCAGCACUGACACUGAGGCACGAAAGCGUGGGGAGCAAACAGG
Molecule: ribosomal RNA, 253 nt
Filed under: uncultured bacterium
Lineage: Bacteria
Description: partial 16S ribosomal RNA
Rfam family: Bacterial small subunit ribosomal RNA
Source: RNAcentral